UACGUAGGGUGCAAGCGUUGUCCGGAAUUAUUGGGCGUAAAGGGCUCGUAGGCGGUCCAUCGCGUCGGGAGUGAAAAGCUGGGGCUUAACCCCAGUCCUGCUUCCGAUACGGGUGGACUAGAGGUAGGUAGGGGAGAACGGAAUUCCUGGUGUAGCGGUGAAAUGCGCAGAUAUCAGGAGGAACACCGGUGGCGAAGGCGGUUCUCUGGGCCUUACCUGACGCUGAGGAGCGAAAGCAUGGGAAGCAAACAGG
This 253-nucleotide ribosomal RNA is filed under the name uncultured bacterium. RNAcentral's name for it is "partial 16S ribosomal RNA". It matches the Rfam family "Bacterial small subunit ribosomal RNA", at positions 524 to 776 of the family's 1533-position model. The record is from RNAcentral.